Molecule: ribosomal RNA, 465 nt
Filed under: uncultured Klebsiella sp.
Lineage: Bacteria; Pseudomonadati; Pseudomonadota; Gammaproteobacteria; Enterobacterales; Enterobacteriaceae
Description: bacterial SSU rRNA
Rfam family: Bacterial small subunit ribosomal RNA
Source: RNAcentral
CCUACGGGCGGCUGCAGUGGGGAAUAUUGCACAAUGGGCGCAAGCCUGAUGCAGCCAUGCCGUGUGUGUGAAGAAGGCCUUCGGGUUGUAAAGCACUUUCAGCGGGGAGGAAGGCGUUAAGGUUAAUAACCUUGUCGAUUGACGUUACCCGCAGAAGAAGCACCGGCUAACUCCGUGCCAGCAGCCGCGGUAAUACGGAGGGUGCAAGCGUUAAUCGGAAUUACUGGGCGUAAAGCGCACGCAGGCGGUCUGUCAAGUCGGAUGUGAAAUCCCCGGGCUCAACCUGGGAACUGCAUUCGAAACUGGCAGGCUAGAGUCUUGUAGAGGGGGGUAGAAUUCCAGGUGUAGCGGUGAAAUGCGUAGAGAUCUGGAGGAAUACCGGUGGCGAAGGCGGCCCCCUGGACAAAGACUGACGCUCAGGUGCGAAAGCGUGGGGAGCAAACAGGAUUAGAUACCCUAGUAGUC